This is a long non-coding RNA of Pieris napi, 398 nucleotides long. RefSeq lists it as uncharacterized. The transcript is spliced from 2 exons. The record is from RefSeq and is a predicted model, not a curated record. Lineage: Eukaryota; Metazoa; Arthropoda; Insecta; Lepidoptera; Pieridae.
UGAUAACUGUUAACUGUCAAAUGACAGAAACAUUCUUUUCAAAAAUCUAUAGCACAACAUUUCAAUUUUAUUUUACAAAGUACGCUCGUUCUCCUGCAUUGCAGUGUCUUUAAAAUUUAUUGAUUAAAACAUAAAAUGCAAGCCGUCAGAAGCCUUUUUAGGACGACUCAAGUCGUCAAGAAUGCUCCGCAGGUCAGAAAUAUGAGUGUGGUCUGUAUUCCAACCAGAAACAAGGUUUCCAAGGGGGAAAUGAUCACACUUUCCAUUGGUAUGGUGUGCGGUUGGUUGUUCAUUCCUGGGUGGGUUCUGGUCCACAUGAAAGACUACCGUAACAAAGAAUAAAUGCUAAUAUUAAUGUAUUAUUGUAGUGUAUUACGUAAAAUAAAAUUUAAAAAGUA